RNAcentral lists this ribosomal RNA (322 nucleotides) under uncultured eukaryote. RNAcentral describes it as "partial 18S ribosomal RNA". It matches the Rfam family "Eukaryotic small subunit ribosomal RNA", at positions 1470 to 1796 of the family's 1831-position model. The record is from RNAcentral.
CCCUUAGAUGUUCUGGGCCGCACGCGUGCUACACUGAGUAAUUCAAUGGGUAAGGGAACGCUAGAGCAUUACCUAAUCUUGAAAUUUGCUCGUGAUGGGGAUCGACGGCUGCAAUUUUCCGUCGUGAACGAGGAAUACCUUGUAGGCGCAUGUCAUCAUCAUGCGCCGAAUACGUCCCUGCCCUUUGUACACACCGCCCGUCGCUCCUACCGAUUGAGUGAUCCGGUGAGGCUCUGGGACCUGGACGGAAAGAGCGUUUCGCUUGUUCUGUUUGGGAAACUUGGUCGAACCUUAUCAUUUAGAGGAAGGAGAAGUCGUAACA